CUAACAUUGUGAAGGCGCAUGGUUUUCAACUGAAAGACUAUAAAUCCUCUCACUCAUAGAUGGAUGCCCCGUUGCUUUAGUGUAGUUGGUAAGGUAAUAGGUUUUACAAGGGAACGAUGCAUAGUCGACCUCAGAGGGUUAUCGGCCACACCGGAACUGAGACACGGUCCAGACUCCUACGGGAGGCAGCCGUAGGGAAUGUUCCGCAAUGGGCGAAAGCCUGACGGAGCAACGCCGCGUGAGUGAUGAAGGUCUUCGGAUCGUAAAACUGUGUUCUUAGGGAAGAACAUAUGUGUAAGUAACCGUGCACAUCUUGACGGUACCUAAUCAGAAAGCCACGGCUAAGUACGUGCCAGCAGCCGCGGUAAUACGUAGGUGGCAAGCGUUAUCCGGAAUUAUUGGGCGUAAAGCGCGCGUAGGCGGUUUUUUAAGUCUGAUGUGAAAGCCCACGGCUCAACCGUGGAGGGUCAUUGGAAACUGGAAAACUUGAGUGCAGAAGAGGAAAGUGGAAUUCCAUGUGUAGCGGUGAAAUGCGCAGAGAUAUGGAGGAACACCAGUGGCGAAGGCGACUUUCUGGUCUGUAACUGACGUUGAUUCGAACGAUGCUUC
This 609-nucleotide ribosomal RNA is filed under the name Staphylococcus aureus. RNAcentral describes it as "bacterial SSU rRNA". It matches the Rfam family "Bacterial small subunit ribosomal RNA", at positions 170 to 762 of the family's 1533-position model. Lineage: Bacteria; Bacillati; Bacillota; Bacilli; Caryophanales; Staphylococcaceae. The record is from RNAcentral.